This 226-nucleotide ribosomal RNA is filed under the name uncultured bacterium. RNAcentral's name for it is "partial 16S ribosomal RNA". It matches the Rfam family "Bacterial small subunit ribosomal RNA", at positions 538 to 763 of the family's 1533-position model. The record is from RNAcentral.
GCGUUAAUCGGAAUUACUGGGCGUAAAGCGUGCGCAGGCGGUUCUAUAAGACAGAUGUGAAAUCCCCGGGCUCAACCUGGGAACUGCAUUUGUGACUGUAGAGCUGGAGUGCGGCAGAGGGGGAUGGAAUUCCGCGUGUAGCAGUGAAAUGCGUAGAUAUGCGGAGGAACACCGAUGGCGAAGGCAAUCCCCUGGGCCUGCACUGACGCUCAUGCACGAAAGCGUG